GGCUAACGCUGGCGGCGUGUCUUAGCCAUGCAAGUCGAGCGGACUUAUGGGGUAACUUAUAAGUCAGCGGCGGACGGCGGAGUAACACGUAGCUAACCUACCCUCUGGACGGGGAUAACCUACCGAAAGGUGGGCUAAUACCCGAUGUAGUCAUCCUGUAUAGGGGUGAUGAAAGGUGGGCUUCUGUUUACAAGCUCAUGCUGGAGGAGGGGGCUGCGGCCUAUCAGGUAGUUGGUAGGGUAAUAGCCUACCAAGCCGAUGACGGGUAGCCGGCCUGAGAGGGUGACCGGCCCGAGGGGCACUGAGAUACGGGUCCCACUCCUACGGGAGGCAGCAGGCUAGAAAUUUGGGCAAUGGGGAAACCCUGACCCAGUGACGCCGCGUGCAGGAAGGAGCCCUUCGGGGUGUAAACUGCUGUCGUGUAGGGAGAAGGGUACUAAGGUGAACAAUCUUAGUACUUGACGGUACUACAGGAGGAAGCCCAGGCUAACCUCGUGCCAGCAGCCGGGUAAUAUAGCGUACU
Molecule: ribosomal RNA, 523 nt
Filed under: uncultured bacterium
Lineage: Bacteria
Description: bacterial SSU rRNA
Rfam family: Bacterial small subunit ribosomal RNA
Source: RNAcentral